Molecule: long non-coding RNA, 545 nt
Filed under: Monodelphis domestica (gray short-tailed opossum)
Lineage: Eukaryota; Metazoa; Chordata; Mammalia; Didelphimorphia; Didelphidae
Description: lncRNA (ENSMODG00000031071.2)
Source: RNAcentral
CCCACACUGCAUUGUGACCUGCCCACCUUACUCCACCCAGAGGAAGGAGGAUGCAGUCCUAUUGGACAGCUGGGCAGGGGAGCAGGUGAUAUAGUCAGGCUUGGGGAGAGAGGGAAAGGAGUAGCCUAGCUGCAGCUCCCUCCUGCUUUCCAGUUAGGAACUGUGAUAAACUGUGCUGCAAGAUUGGGGGCACUGGAUCCUUGGCAUGUAUGCCCACUGAGAGAUCUCUGCAUGCCAUCUCUGGCACACAUGCCAUAGACUUGCAUCACAGGCGUAGUGCUUGCCUUCCUUCUGUUUUAGAAAUGAUGGCUCCCCCGGCAGGGCAUACCAAAUCGCCAUGAUGCCAGUCCCCUGAGAAACAACGUGGUCUCUCUCAGACAGCUAAAGAAAUCCUUCAAGCAAGAUCUGAAAGUGACAGACAUCCCAAGUUCAAUGAGAAAAAGAACCACCUCAUAUAUCAAGAAAAGAAAAACAGAAAACAAAGAAAAACAAGUUAUUAAUUGGUGUAAAAUAAAAUGAAAGGCUUAAGGUAGAUGGUCUCUAAG